This 1029-nucleotide long non-coding RNA is filed under the name Mus musculus (house mouse). RNAcentral describes it as "long non-coding RNA chr18:26096055-26097084". The record is from RNAcentral. Lineage: Eukaryota; Metazoa; Chordata; Mammalia; Rodentia; Muridae.
UAUAUUUGGAGACCAUCUGUAUAUCUCUUCCUUUUGGAGCUCCCAUAUCUAUUCCACAGCUCACUGGUUUUUUGUUUGUUUGUUUGUUUUUAUUUUUAUUUUUAUUUUUGUUUUUGUUUUUUGUUUUUUUGACAAUUCUUUUCUGUAAGAGACUCAUCUCAAUUUCUCUGGGUCUGGGAUUAAAACAGUGUCAGGAACCAAGACGGUGCGUGUCUAUCAGGCAGUGUAUCAGAGUGUCAGGUUUUUACUUUUUCUUCUCUGAUGUCAUUAAGGAUUUCUCUGGACAUUUUCUAAUGCUAAGAGAUUCUAAGGGAUGUUACAGGGUAACAGAGUUGGGGUGCACCAUUACGCAGUAUAGAAGGUCAUAGCUUGUCUUAUUGGCACAGUCUAGUCUGGAUCUGAACUCUUCUUUUCCAAUGCCUUAUAAUAGUCAUUUAGCUAUGUGUUCUUGUUUCGCAGAUAUGUACUACUUGACCAAGUUGUUGCAGAUAUGCUACAAGUACUUAAAGAAGGAGUCUUAACUUGGGAAGUGUUAAUAGCUCCAUGGUGUCCAAAACAUCUGCUGCACAGGAAAUGCUCUUGAAAAGAUUUACAAAUCAACCACACUUACUGACUGCUUUUGUUCCAUCUAUACCAGAGACGUUCAAAAUCUCAAACGAAAUGCUGCAUGGGGAAGAGUUAUAUUAUCUGACUAGACUGGUGUGCUGGCCAAUGUGAGCCACUGCAGGAGCCCAGCUAUGUGCUUGAGUCAGGAAGACUUUUGCCCUGUCUUUCAUGUCCUAUAACAUAGCUCCCCAGCCACUAGUGAUGCAGUCUGAUGAAAUCCAGGUGACUGAAAAAAAUCUAAUUAAUAUGGUCUUAAUUAUGAUAGCAAUAAUACCCACCUCUCAGCAUGAGAAAGUAAGAUAUUAAGUUAGUAAUACUAAAUUUCCCAAGGGUGAUAAGACCCUUUAAGAUGAGUUAAUUUGAAAUUUACUGAUAUGAUAGAGCAGAAACAGACAUAUUUGAAAGAUUCCAAAGGGGCCAGCA